UACGUAGGUGGCGAGCGUUGUCCGGAUUUACUGGGCGUAAAGCGCGCGCAGGCGGCCGGCCCAGUCCGAUGUGAAAGCUUCCGGCUCAACUGGAAAAUGGCAUCGGAUACUGGUCGGCUGGAAGGUGGGAGAGGGUAGCGGAAUUCCCGGUGUAGUGGUGAAAUGCGUAGAUAUCGGGAGGAACACCAGUGGCGAAAGCGGCUACCUGGCCCACUCUUGACGCUGAGGCGCGAAAGCUAGGGGAGCAAAC
Molecule: ribosomal RNA, 250 nt
Filed under: uncultured bacterium
Lineage: Bacteria
Description: partial 16S ribosomal RNA
Rfam family: Bacterial small subunit ribosomal RNA
Source: RNAcentral